This 1307-nucleotide long non-coding RNA is filed under the name Vulpes vulpes (red fox). RNAcentral describes it as "lncRNA (ENSVVUG00000019287.1)". Lineage: Eukaryota; Metazoa; Chordata; Mammalia; Carnivora; Canidae. The record is from RNAcentral.
AUAUAACAAGUUUUAUUCUUCAGCACACUUGUCCAUUGUGUCCUCAGGUUCCGGUACUCAUGAGAUCAUGAUGAACUUGACAGUGAUCAUUAAUAGGACCUUAUUGGCAACCAAGUAAGUGAUAAAGUGGGUCUUACCUCAGUACAGACCAUCUGAUCUUCAGAUAUCUUUUGUUUGUUUGUUUUUAUUCAUGAGAGAGGCAGAGACACAGACAGUGGGAGAAGCAGGCUCCCUAUGGGGAGCCCAAUGUGGGUCUUGAUCCCAGGACCCCGGGAUCACAACCUGAGCCAAAGGCAGACGCUCAACCACUGAGCCACCCAGGCGUCCCUGAUCUUAAGAUAGUUGAGUGAGUAUGGUUUACCUAACACAGUGUCACCUAGUUGUUUUGCACGUGUCCUUUCCUAAUAUGCAGGUGUGAGAAUAUGUAGUAUUAACUCAUUAGAGACCUGCUUGUUUUUCAUAUGUGAAUGGGGUUUUCAAGACUCUAUAUUAACUCUGUUUUUGGCAUGUAAGCAGUUCAGAAAUUAAUUUGGCCCAAAUAGUACUCAUAAGUAUGAGAUUUUACUGUGUUCUUAUUCAGAGAUUAUAUGUUUUAUACACCCAGAGUGGUGGAUAGGCAGAGAUCCAGGUAAUUUAUCAUAUUAUCCAUCACCACAUUAUUGCCCAUGAAAUUUUUGCAGGUAUCCUUUCAACAGAGGAAGGUAUCUCUCUCCUUUUAUUUUUUUUUAAAUAUUUUAUUUGUUUAUUCAUGAGAGACACAGAGGGAGAGGCAGAGACAUAGGCAGAGGGACAAGCAGGCUCCCUGCAGGGAGCUGAAUGCAGGACUCCAUCCCAGGACUCCGGGGUCAUGACCUGAGCCGAAGGCAGCCGCUCAACCACUGAGUCACCCAGGCACCCCAGGAAGAUAUCUCUUAUUAGGGUAGCAACCUCAGAGUUCUGCAAUUAUCCAGGUAACAUUGAUGAAUCUCAAAAUCAUACAGUUGACCAAGGAAUUUACAGGUGUCCCACUAGAAAAAGAUGUGUACCAAACAUGUUUUCCACAAUUUUUUUCAGGUUCAUGUGAAGACCUCACUGCAAGCCUUUCAGUGGUAGUUAACGAUGUGCACAUAUCAGAUAUUACGGACAUCCCAAGAAAUCACAUGAACCUAUCCAUACCAGUGAAUGGGCAGACAUUGCCGAGUACUACCCAUGUGAUUUUUACAAGUGUCCAGUCAAGAAAUGAUAGUUUUCUGGCAUUGGUGUUGACCUUGGAGUACUGUAAGUAUCCAGGUAGUAUUGUAAGUAUCCAGAGUUGGUAUGUCUCAUAG